GAUAAAGUCAGCUAAUUAAGCUUUCGGGCCCAUACCCCGAACAUGACGGUUAAACCCCCUCCUUUAUCA
Molecule: transfer RNA, 69 nt
Filed under: Aborichthys elongatus
Lineage: Eukaryota; Metazoa; Chordata; Actinopteri; Cypriniformes; Nemacheilidae
Description: tRNA-Met
Source: RNAcentral